GGGUGCAGAUGGGUGGUGUGAGCACAGGUGGGUGCUGUGGGCAUGAGUGGGUGCUGUGGGGUGCAGAUGGGCACGGUGGGUGCCCAAGCAGCUGAGGGGUGCAGCACAGAGCAAACACACCCCCCCCCCAACAACACCCCACCCCAGAAGAACUGGGGGGGCACCGGGGAUCCGGGUGGCCCCAGGCCCUGAACUGGUCACUGGGUGCUGGGGAGCGGAGAGCUUGGGGUGGUUUUGAGGGGGGAUUUUUUGCCGUGGGAGUGGGGGGAGCCGGAUGCUGCGAGAAGCAUCCUCGGUCCUCGGCCUGGCCCCCCCACCCCCCCGUCACCCUGUCCCAGUUUUGGGGGGGCCCCAGCGGGAUGGGAACCGGGGGGGGGGGGGUUCAACCCAGGCGCGAGCCUGGAUGUCCUCGGAAAUUUCCUCAGCCACCCCCAGGGGGAAGGACAAACCCUUCCCGCCUCCAACCCUCCCACCCAACUGCGAAAUAACGAUGAUAAUAGUAAUAAUAAAAAAUCAAUAAACAUUUAUUCGAUACAGCUGUUUUUAAUACAUACAGUACAUCGAGUUACCCCUCCGCGGUGCUCGGCGGCGCGGCUGUUAAGAGCUGCUGUUACAGUACUCUCCAACUGAGGAUUUGUCAAUGAUUAACAAAAAGAACAGAUCGUCACAAAUCGGGAGUUUAUUAUAAGAUAGUUUACUGUUAAAACAAUUUUUAUUUUUUGCAAAUAAACACUUUUUAAUAUAUAUAUUUAUAUAUUUAUAUAUAUGGUUACAAGUGAUAAAUUGAAAAUUCUUUUUUUUUUUUUCUUUUUUUUUUUUUUUUUUUUCCAUUUUCUUUUUUUUCCCCAAAAUACACUUAUGCACUAAUAACUGGCAUCGACGAGAAACAUUCGGAUAUGCCGUGGGAUGGGUGUCACGAGGAGAGAAAGAAAAGAACAAAACGCUCCCAAGGUUGACGGGCGCGAGCGAUGCAACCCCAGCGCGGCCGGACUCUGCCCUCGCUCCCUGCCUGGGGGGGGCACAGCCGACCCCGCCGGGUGCUGCCAAGGGUCUCGUGCCCCCCACCCCCCAGGUUUUGGGGGAUGGCCCCCCCCAGGUUCCUCCCGUGGGGUCGCAGCCCUCCCGUCCCCCACCCCACGGAGGUUUAGCCCUUUCCUCGGGGACGUGGGCGACGGGACGGUGGUGGGUCUCCGCAGCGGGUGGGGACGGGGUGUUGCUGUCUCCAGGGUGCUGCAGAGGCAGGACCCCCCCGGGAGGAGCCGCCACCGACUGUGACCGACCCCCCGCCCCCCCGAGCACCCCGGGAGCGGGGCAGGACUGUGGGGGUGCCACCCCACUGCUCCCUCCCCCUUCACCCGCCUUUACAUUAAGUGUAGGUUAUUCCCCGCUGCCGCAGGGGAUGACCCAGUGGCUCAGACCCCCGGCACAGAGGGCGGGGGGGGGGUGUGCCAGGCAUGGGGGGGGAGGGGGGGCGGGGAGUCCCACGUUGGUGGAUUUGGGGGUCUCCAAACCCCCGUGGGUGAGGGGACGGAAGGGGAGAGGAUGCGCUCGUCCCCUGUCUCACCCCGCAGCCUCCAGGUUACGGCGAGUCUGUCCCCGCUGGCUGCUGCCUCGCGGGGAGCACCCGAACGGGCACAACCCACCGGGCACAACCCACCGGGUGCAACCCACCGGGUGCAACCCACUGGGUGCAACCCAACAGGUACAACCCAACCAGUGCAACCCGAUGGGUUCCACCCAACAAGUACAACCCAACAGGUACAACCCAACGGGUGCAACUCGAUGGGUUCAACCCAACAGGUACAACCCAACAGGUAUAACCUGACAGGUACAACCCGACAGGCACAACCCAACAGGUACAACCCAACAGGUGCAACUCGAUGGCUUCAACCCAACAAGUACAACCCAACAGGCACAACCCAACAGGUACAACCCAACGGGUGCAACUCGAUGGGUUCAACCCAACAGGUACAACCCAACAGGUAUAACCUGACAGGUACAACCCGACAGGCACAACCCAACAGGUACAACCCAACGGGUGCAACUCGAUGGCUUCAACCCACCAGGUACAACCCAACAGGUACAACCCGAUGGGUUCAACCCAACGGGUGCAACUCAAUGGGUUCAACCCAACAGGUACAACCCGACAGGCACAACCCAACAGGUACAACCCAACGGGUGCAACUCGAUGGGUUCAACCCAACAGGUACAACCCAACAGGUACAACCCAACGGGUGCAACUUGAUGGGUUCAACCCAACGGGUACAACCCACCAGGUGCAAUCCAACAGGUAUAACCUGACAGGUACAACCCAACAGGUACAACUCAACGGGUGCAACUCGAUGGGUUCAACCCAACAGGUACAACCCGACAGGUACAACCCAAUGGGUGCAAUCCAACAGGUACAACCCACCGGGCUCCCGCUGCCAGUAUUCCCGGGAUCACCCUGGAGCCUUCCCCGACAAGCAGGAGAGUAAAAGAUGUCUCACGGAGAAGGCGGCGGUGGGAGAACAUAUUCCUCUUGAGUGACGGCUAGUAGGGGAAAAAACACCUUUUAAGGGGAAAAAAAAAAAAAAAAAACCCUGAAGAUUUCACUUUCUCA
Molecule: RNA transcript, 2602 nt
Organism: Tyto alba (common barn owl)
Lineage: Eukaryota; Metazoa; Chordata; Aves; Strigiformes; Tytonidae
Exons: 3
Source: RefSeq, a predicted model, not a curated record